RNA transcript from Pyrus x bretschneideri (Chinese white pear), 3187 nucleotides. It is a transcript of the gene named DNA-directed RNA polymerase III subunit rpc31-like, with no coding region annotated. NCBI's taxonomy places the organism in Eukaryota, Viridiplantae, Streptophyta, Magnoliopsida, Rosales, Rosaceae. The transcript is spliced from 5 exons. The record is from RefSeq and is a predicted model, not a curated record.
UAAGAAGAAAAAAGAAGUGUUGGAUCAAAAUCAUCCGAUUAGAUUUGCCUGAUUUUUAUAUUUUAAUUUCUAUUAAUUUCCGCCGGAGCUGUGGGUUAGGGUUUUUCUGAAAUUUGAGAUGGGAAUCUAAAAUGCUUCCUUCCAAAUUUCCAAUUCCAUUAAUGCUUGAAAAUUUGAGAUGGGUUUUGGCUUUUUCUUGAUUUUGGCAGAUUAAAUUUGAAAUUUAAAGAGUUUCUGGUUGGGUAAGAUUAGGCCAGUUUAUUUGAUGUAGGGUUUAGGGUUGAUUGCCGGCCGCAGUCACAAGAUCCUUCAGGUGCUAAUAUUUAUAUCAAGAGGAACAAAAAUACUACUAUAAUUUGAAUAUAUGUACAUAGUAAUUUGAUGCUGUUCAAUUGUUCAUACAACUUGUGUUUCCAAACCCAAUAGAGAAUUCAAUAAAUUUGAUGCUGUUCAUUUCGAUUGUGUAAUUGUUACGAAGAGAUAUUUGACAAGGAUCGUAGAAUUUAAUUAAAUAGUGUCAUGAAUUCACUUCAACCAUUAUCUUCUUUUGAGUUUAACCUUUCAUAGCUUUUCAGGGUUUUUUGUGGAAUUGAUGAAUUUUCUCAUGUCACUACCAUAGUUUUUUCUUUCUUGAGAUUAGAUUACCAGUUAACCAAAUAAUACUCUGCAGAAAAAACAUAGCUUAAAUUGCUAAUAUUCUUUUGCUUUUUAAAUUUAAGGUGCAAAAUUUUUUGUUUCUUUCAAAUGAAUUUUUAUUGAGUAACUCCUGCGUUUGUAUGUCAAGAUCAAUGACAUAUAGAGGGCGUGGAUGCGGUGGAUUUUCAGGUGGGGGCGGUUUUGGCUUUGCUAAGCAAGAGCCUUUUGUGCUUUUUCCUGACAUUGAUUUGCGUAUUCCCAAAGGUAUAUCUUAUCUAGAGAAAAAACACACUCUUACUGAGGAAGAAAACUUAAUCAAUCAAACUCGCAAGUUUCAAAAUAUUUGGAAAGGCUUUCCUUAUUAUCUUGAGCAGAGCCCUUCGAAUGGUUAGCAUGUUGUGGUUUAAUUUUCAUUAUUUUUGUUUAUUAUCAGUACAAGUGGUAGUGGAAUAAGCAAUCUAUGUUUAAUUUGCAUAUUCGAUCUGUUUUUCCCUUUCUUUUUCUCUAUAAAAUAUGAAUCCUAGCCAUUAUUUUGAUGUUGCGGAGAGCAUUUCCAUUGUUGUUGUAUGUUUGAAAAUUUGAACUCAUUAAAUAGACUAGCAAUGUUGUAGAGAUACUUGUAUGCUGUGUACAGUGAAAGUUCUGUUUAUGCAGUUCCAAUGAAAUUCAUACAGAUAUGUUGAUAAGCUUGGAUCUUAAAAAGUAAUCAAACAACAUGGAUAUGGUUGAAGAUAAAAGUACAUAUUUAUAGUGAAUCUGAAGUUGAUCUCACCAACGUUUAUAGUUAGAUGUAAGAAGCUCACACAUCCCUUCCAAAACCAAUAACAUUCUUCUGUUUGUGACCAUUAUGCAUAGUGGCACACUAUCAUCAAAUGUUUAAUUGAAGAAGAUUCAUAAAUAGCAAUAAUUUCUGACAUUCGUGUUGCAAGGAGCACCACUACUAAUUCCUGUUUAAAUAUAAUGUUCAAGAAUUUUUGCUAUAGGUGCCUUAUAUCCAACACAUGAAUGCUUACACUAUUCUUUUUAUUUGAAUACCAUAAUGCUUAGGAUUUGAUUCUUGAUUAUUUUUUGGAUUCUUUUGAACCUAUACCAGAUUAUGUUUGAUAAUAAUACAUUUCUUUAACAUGUGGUCGUAGAGAAGCAAAACAUGGAUGUGGAAAAAUAUUCUGACAGGACAAAGCCAAAAACCAUGAUAAGACGCGGUUCUCUUUUUAGUAUAUUGGAGCUCAAGGGAUUUCCUCAAGAACUGACUGGAGGUUUCCAAUCUGAAUAAUCGUAUUUAAAAAAUGGGAAUAGCAUUCAAUAUUAAUGCUCUAUUUUGGUUUUAUGGCUAUCUUUUUGCUUUUGAUAUGCAUGCUGAUGUGAUGGUAUUUCAGGUUCAAGGGUACAGCAGCCUGGCCGAAAGAGAGUUAGAUGGAAUCCUGACUCAGGUUCUAUAAGAUUAGAUGUUUUGUUUUACUGUUGUCUUCUUUCAUCUCUUUUUGGGGCUCUCUUUGCUCCUCAGAGAUUCUGAAUAUAACUGAUUAAAAAAACACAGACAGAGCUGGUGAAGUUGGAUUUAUUUGAAAAGCUUGAGCCGGUGUCAGGUGUGAGAAAGUCUUUAGAAUCUCUGUAACUACAAUACUUUGGGUCAAAUAUCACUUAUGAAAAGAACCUAUAUUAUUUGUGAUCUAAAGAUUUCUUGUCAUCGGUAGUUCAAUUUUUGUAUGCAUUAAGAUAACAUUUCUCCUUUGUAGUGCCAAAAUGAUGCAAAAGAAAAGAAAGAAUGUGAAGGUGAGGAUGUAAAUGAAAAUGAGGAGGAGGCGGAACCAGAGGACGAGGACUUUAGUGAUGAUGAUUACUGUAAGAACUCUGAUUUUGAGGAUGAUGAAGAUGAUUAUAAUAUGGAAGAUGACGGUGACGGCGAACCUCUUUUAUAGCGAGAAGGUGUAGCGUACGACGGAUACAUCUCAUGUCUCUUCAAUAAAACGGGGUAUGGCUGUGCAAUUAGUUACUAAUUUUCUGGCACAAAGCUCUUGUUCUUCGAGGAAAUGAUAUCUCAGUCUGCCAACAUUAUAGCUUAUUGGAUUUUGUUAAUACGAGGUCAGUCUUGCAUUGAUGAUACAUGUCUUGCAUAUAAACCAAAAAUGUUAUAUAUAACACUACUGCCUUAAUUCCAUAACUGGCAACUAGCAGCAAGCGCACACACAAGGUUAGCCAUGCCACAUUUCGUAUUCCAAACGCUCAAUCAUAACACUUUCCUUCUUAAAUUGUUCCCUCUAAUAUUAUAAACUAAGCAGCAAUGAGAGGAUAGGAAACAGAAACUCAUUGCCAUCGUCCAACGCCAAGAAUCAUUGGAGUAGAUGGGGGCUGCAGCACAUCACUACCAGAGGAAAUUCCAUAUUUUAUAUAUGGUUUGAAUAGCUGAACAGAAAAGCUUUGUUCUAUAUGUUAAUCACCAAAUCUCUAAUGGUAUCUAUUGUUAAAUGAUGUUUUGGGAUCAUGAGGGGGAGAUUAAUUUGAAGAUGUAUGCAGGUGCUACUUAUAUCGCAAUACAUUGGUUUCGAAAUUA